Pezoporus flaviventris is the source of this 1959-nucleotide long non-coding RNA. RefSeq lists it as uncharacterized. The record is from RefSeq and is a predicted model, not a curated record. NCBI's taxonomy places the organism in Eukaryota, Metazoa, Chordata, Aves, Psittaciformes, Psittacidae. The transcript is spliced from 3 exons.
GGCUGUGACCCUGUAGGAAUCCUAUGCUGGAGCAGGCUCCUGGCAGGACAUGUGGCACUGUGGAGAGGGUAGCUCAUGCUGAAAACGGUUUGUUAGGAGGGCUUGUGACCUUGUGGGGGACCCAUGGAGCAGUUCAUAAAGAAGUAUAGCCUGUGGGAAGGACCCCAUGCUAGAGCAGGGGAAGAGUGAAAGAAAGUUGGGGAGGGGGAGUGAUAGAGCAGCUUUGGUGGGCACCUGGCAUCCAACCAAGUUGAUCCCAACAAAAAGGAGAUAGACAGCUGCAGCAAAUGAGAAGGCAGAAUGCAUUUGAAUUUGGGGAUAUGGGUUUAGAAGUUUGUUGAAGAAAAUCCAGUUGAAUAAAAGGGGUUCUGAGGCAAAGCCCCAAGAAGCUUUGGGAUGUGCAUAUACAAGAGAGCUGUAAAUAGAGGGAUAAAUUGAUUUUCUGACCACACAGAAGGUGAAAAGAGAUUGAGAUUAAGGAAUAAAUCAGUUAAGAUCCUGGGAAGCAAAUGCUUAAGUUAAAAUGGGCAUACACAUCCUGUCCUAAAUUAUAUAUCAAUACUGCAACACUGUUUUCCAAUUCAUAACCUUUACAGACCAUGCCUGUUAUAAAUUGUUUUGCCAUCAAUUUGAAUUAUUAUAUACACUUGUAUCUAAGAAGUCAAAAAACAUCCUGGACUGCAUAGGAGGAGCAUCACCAGCAGGUCAAGAAAGGUGAUCCUUCUGCUUCGCUCAGAAAUAGUGAGCCUACACCUGGAGUGCCCUGUCUAGUACUGGCCUCCCCAUGGACAUGCUGGAGCAGAUCCAGUGAGGGGCCACAAAGAUGAUUAAAGUACUGGAGCAUCUCCCAUAUAAGAGACUGAGACAGCUGGCACUGUUUAGUCUGGAAAAAAAAGGCUCAGGAGGAUCUUACCAACAUGUAUAAAUAUCUGAUGGGAGAAUGUAAAGAAGACAGAGCCAGACUCCUCUCAGCAGUAUCCUGUGACAGGACAAGAGGCAGUGGGCACAAACUAAAAUACAGGAAAUUCCAUCUGAGAGUAGGAAAACACUCCAGAAGAGCCUGCCAACCUCAACAACUCUGUGAUUUCCUGUAGCUUUUCAAAAAGAGAACAGAGCAAUGUAUGUGGAGAGGGUUGCUCUAUAAAGUCUUAUUUGCUUUUAUUUCAAGCAUCAAGUAUGGAGUUGUCUUCAAGAAUGAGUAACUGGUAGUUUUUGAAGUGCUUUCAUAUAACUUAUAACAAAAUUUUACUUUAAAAAUUUUCUCUCCCUUAUGUUUUCUUAGAGAAUUGUCAUGUUUUAACACCAGCUGGCAACUAAAUACCACAACUUGCUCAUUCCCCUCCAUUCUGGUGUGAUGGGGAGGAGAAUUAGGGAAAGGUAAAAUCUGUGAGUUGAUAUAAAAACAGUUUAAUAAUUGAAACAAAGUAAAGUAUAAUAUAUAAUAAAUAAUAAUGAGAAAUAAAAAGAGGAAUAAACCCCAACCAACAACAGUGAUGCACAGCACAAUUGCUCGCCACCUAGUGACUGAUGCCCAGCCUGUUCUCGAGCAGCAAUUGGCUCCUUCUGGCUAACUUCCCCCCAGUUUCUAUGCUGAGCAUGAUGUUCUGGGGUAUGGGAUACCCCUUUGGCUAGUUUGGGUCAGGUGUCCUGGCUAUGUUCCUUCCCUGCUUCUUGUGCCCCUCCUCACUGACAGUGCAUGAGAGACUGAAAAGUCCUUGAUCAGGGUAAGCACUACUUAGCAACAACUAAAACAUUAGUGUGUUAUUAACAUUAUUCUCAGACUAAAGCCAAAGCACAAAACUGUACAAGCUACUAGGAAGAAAAGUAACUCUAUCUCAUAUGAAACCAGGACAGUAUGAGUAUGCAAAUGUGAGUUAUACUAUAAAGGCACUGGUUUAAAAUUUAAUUUAGAAAGUCAAGAUAGAAAAAUGCCUCCAGUUACUGAAGACUUAGAGAAGA